Molecule: long non-coding RNA, 413 nt
Filed under: Mustela putorius furo (domestic ferret)
Lineage: Eukaryota; Metazoa; Chordata; Mammalia; Carnivora; Mustelidae
Description: lncRNA (ENSMPUG00000028366.1)
Source: RNAcentral
GGAGAGGAUGGGCAAUGAACCCACAGAAAAUCCAAGGCCCAGGCACCACCAUCAGGUUUUGGGAAGCAUUUGGUCAGGUGAUAAAGACUGGCAAAUGCCCUCUUUCCUAGGUACAUACAUAAAGGUAUGUACAUGGAUCAUACAUACCUUUCAUUUAUAAUGUUGAGAAGAGCGUUUCACCUCUGUUGUCUUCCUCCCAAAAAAUCAUAAUCCACUUCGCCUGAGAAAAACAUCAGACAACCCCAGACUGAGAGACAUUCUACAAAACAUCUGAUCAUCACCCUGUAAAACUGUCAAGGUCAUAAGAAAGCAAGGAAAGUCUGAAGAAUUGCCGCAGCCCAGAGGAGCCUAAGAAGACAUGAAGACAAAAUAUAAUCUGGUAUUCUAGAUGAGACUUGGGAACAGAAAAAGAA